GAGUUUGAUCCUGGCUCAGGAUGAACGCUGGCGGCGUGCCUAAUACAUGCAAGUCGAGCGAACAGACGAGGAGCUUGCUCCUCUGACGUUAGCGGCGGACGGGUGAGUAACACGUGGGUAACCUACCUAUAAGACUUGGAUAACUCCGGGAAACCGGGGCUAAUACCGGAUAAUACAUGAAACCGCAUGGUUUCAUGAUGAAAGACGGUUUUGCUGUCACUUAUAGAUGGACCCGCGGCGUAUUAGCUAGUUGGUAAGGUAACGGCUUACCAAGGCAACGAUACGUAGCCGACCUGAGAGGGUGAUCGGCCACACUGGAACUGAGACACGGUCCAGACUCCUAUGGGAGGCAGCAGUAGGGAAUCUUCCGCAAUGGGCGAAAGCCUGACGGAGCAACGCCGCGUGAGUGAUGAAGGUCUUCGGAUCGUAAAACUCUGUUAUUAGGGAAGAACAAGGGUGUAAGUAACUAUGCACCCCUUGACGGUACCUAAUCAGAAAGCCACGGCUAACUACGUGCCAGCAGCCGCGGUAAUACGUAGGUGGCAAGCGUUAUCCGGAAUUAUUGGGCGUAAAGCGCGCGUAGGCGGUUUUUUAAGUCUGAUGUGAAAGCCCACGGCUCAACCGUGGAGGGUCAUUGGAAACUGGAAAACUUGAGUGCAGAAGAGGAAAGUGGAAUUCCAUGUGUAGCGGUGAAAUGCGUAGA
Molecule: ribosomal RNA, 703 nt
Filed under: uncultured bacterium
Lineage: Bacteria
Description: bacterial SSU rRNA
Rfam family: Bacterial small subunit ribosomal RNA
Source: RNAcentral